CCUACGGGUGGCAGCAGUGAGGAAUAUUGGUCAAUGGACGAGAGCCUGAACCAGCCAAGUCGCGUGAAGGAAGACUGCCCUAUGGGUUGUAAACUUCUUUUAUAAAGGAAUAAAACGAGCCACGCGUGCCUUUUUGAAUGUACUUUAUGAAUAAGGAUCGGCUAACUCCGUGCCAGCAGCCGCGGUAAUACGGAGGAUCCGAGCGUUAUCCGGAUUUAUUGGGUUUAAAGGGAGCGGAGACGGGUUGUUAAGUCAGUUGUGAAAGUUUGCGGCUCAACCGUAAAAUUGCAAUUGAUACUGGCAGUCUUGAGUACAGUAGAGGUAGGCGGAAUUCGUGGUGUAGCGGUGAAAUGCUUAGAUAUCACGAAGAACUCCGAUUGCGAAGGCAGCAUACUAAACUGCCACUGACAUUGAUGCUCGAAAGUGUGGGUAUCAAACAGGAUUAGAUACCCUUGUAGUC
This 460-nucleotide ribosomal RNA is filed under the name uncultured bacterium. RNAcentral describes it as "partial 16S ribosomal RNA". It matches the Rfam family "Bacterial small subunit ribosomal RNA", at positions 338 to 795 of the family's 1533-position model. The record is from RNAcentral.